UGGGGAAUAUUGGACAAUGGGCGAAAGCCUGAUCCAGCCAUGCCGCGUGUGUGAAGAAGGUCUUCGGAUUGUAAAGCACUUUAAGUUGGGAGGAAGGGCAUUAACCUAAUACGUUAGUGUCUUGACGUUACCGACAGCAUAAGCACCGGCUAACUCUGUGCCAGCAGCCGCGGUAAUACAGAGGGUGCAAGCGUUAAUCGGAAUUACUGGGCGUAAAGCGCGCGUAGGUGGUUUGUUAAGUUGAAUGUGAAAUCCCCGGGCUCAACCUGGGAACUUCAUCCAAAACUGGCAAGCUUGAGUAUGGGAGAUGGUAGUCGUAUUUCCUAUGUAGCGGUGAAAUGCGUAGAUAUAUGAAGGAACACCAGAGGCGAAGGCGACAACCUAGACUGAUACUAACACUGAAGGGCGAAAGCGUGGGGAGCUAACA
This 427-nucleotide ribosomal RNA is filed under the name uncultured bacterium. Its description in RNAcentral is "bacterial SSU rRNA". It matches the Rfam family "Bacterial small subunit ribosomal RNA", at positions 355 to 774 of the family's 1533-position model. The record is from RNAcentral.